GAUGAACGCUGGCGGCGUGCCUAAUACAUGCAAGUCGAGCGAAUGGAUUAAGAGCUUGCUCUUAUGAAGUUAGCGGCGGACGGGUGAGUAACACGUGGGUAACCUGCCCAUAAGACUGGGAUAACUCCGGGAAACCGGGGCUAAUACCGGAUAACAUUUUGAACCGCAUGGUUCGAAAUUGACAGGCGGCUUCGGCUGUCACUUAUGGAUGGACCCGCGUCGCAUUAGCUAGUUGGGGAGGUAACGGCUCACCAAGGCAACGAUGCGUAGCCGACCUGAGAGGGUGAUCGGCCACACUGGGACUGAGACACGGCCCAGACUCCUACGGGAGGCAGCAGUAGGGAAUCUUCCGCAAUGGACGAAAGUCUGACGGAGCAACGCCGCGUGAGUGAUGAAGGCUUUCGGGUCGUAAAACUCUGUUGUUAGGGAAGAACAAGUGCUAGUUGAAUAAGCUGGCACCUUGACGGCACCUAACCAGAAAGCCACGGCUAACUACGUGCCAGCCGCCGCAGUAA
This 515-nucleotide ribosomal RNA is filed under the name uncultured bacterium. RNAcentral's name for it is "partial 16S ribosomal RNA". It matches the Rfam family "Bacterial small subunit ribosomal RNA", at positions 28 to 523 of the family's 1533-position model. The record is from RNAcentral.